Pomacea canaliculata is the source of this 1150-nucleotide long non-coding RNA. RefSeq lists it as uncharacterized. The transcript is spliced from 5 exons. NCBI's taxonomy places the organism in Eukaryota, Metazoa, Mollusca, Gastropoda, Architaenioglossa, Ampullariidae. The record is from RefSeq and is a predicted model, not a curated record.
GUAUAUAUAUAUUCGUUAUCACAGACUGUCUUUAGAAAGUUUCCACAAGUGGAGCCGCUGGCGUCGAGUGGGAGCAACAGGAUGUGGCCUCUCGUCUUUCUGCUCUGCUUCAUUCAAGGUUUUGGUGUUCAAGGUGUCCAAUGGGAGAUUUUAAUUCAUACAUCGGGCAUACAAGACGCGGGAACAGACUCCGAUAUCUUUCUUACUCUCCAUGGAUCUCGCGGAUCUUCCAAAGAAAUGAUUUUAGACAAUUUAGGCAACGACUUUGAGAGAAAUCAGAUAGACAAAUUCAAUGUUACAACGGACGACAUUGGUGAAGUGUGCUCAGUGACCAUCAGGUCUGCCGGUAAUAACGCUGCUGCUGACUGGCAUCUCGAUAAGAUUACGGUUUGGGGAAAAACAAAUCACAUUUUUAAGUGCGUGUGCUGGAUAUCAGCGACUUCUCAAUUAAGUAGGAAUCUCCAGCCUGAUGUCCCAUGCUCCAGCCAGAAGAAAUAAGUAAACGACCUGGGUGCAGACUUUCAAUCCGGCACUGACCAACCAGCAUAAAGAGUUUAUUCACCUGAUGGAACACCUUGCUCAUCCGCUAACUGGAAUUCCAAGAAAUAUCUGUCAACGUCUACUGUCACUCUUCAACAGUGUCAUGCACACAACCCUGCUAAUGAUUUUCUUUACAAUUGAACAUGUCAAGAAUAUUACAACAAAAGUAACCAAAAGUAUGACACUAUAUUCAAUGAUCUGCAAUUUUGAUACUGUCUAAAUGUUAUUUUGAAAAAAGUACAUUUUCUAAGAAUAAUCGAUUACAGUUAGAAUUAUCAUUUAAACUACUUGAAAAAAACAUUUCGCAGAUAGUUAUUUGAUAUUUGAUUAUUCUGUCACAAGAUGAUAUGAAAAGGUAGGAAACAUACAGGUAACAUGUACACAAGCUAACCCUAAAGAGUAGUCAACUGUAAACACUUCUGCAAGAGUCUACCUUAUAACCCAAGGUCUUUUAUCCCACAAGUAAUUUUAAAGCAAACAAUUCUACAAAAAGAAAAAGAGUGGAAAAUAAUGUCUAAUUUUUUUUUAAAACGUGUUCUAAGAUUUCGAAAUUUAUCGUUGUAAGUGGCAUUGAAAAUGCAAGGUGAAAAUAAAAAAAGUUGAAGCGCAA